UGGCAGCGACGUGCUACCAUGCAGUCGAACGAUGAACCCGAAGCUUGCUUUGGGGGAUUAGUGGCGAACGGGUGAGUAACACGUGAGCAACCUGCCCCUCACUCUGGGAUAAGCGCUGGAAACGGCGUCUAAUACUGGAUACGAGUCGCAACCGCAUGGUUAGUGACUGGAAAGAUUUUUUGGUGGGGGAUGGGCUCGCGGCCUAUCAGCUUGUUGGUGAGGUAAUGGCUCACCAAGGCGUCGACGGGUAGCCGGCCUGAGAGGGUGACCGGCCACACUGGGACUGAGACACGGCCCAGACUCCUACGGGAGGCAGCAGUGGGGAAUAUUGCACAAUGGGCGGAAGCCUGAUGCAGCAACGCCGCGUGAGGGAUGACGGCCUUCGGGUUGUAAACCUCUUUUAGCAGGGAAGAAGCGAAAGUGACGGUACCUGCAGAAAAAGCACCGGCUAACUACGUGCCAGCAGCGGCCGGUAAU
Molecule: ribosomal RNA, 477 nt
Filed under: Microbacterium sp. YC109C
Lineage: Bacteria; Bacillati; Actinomycetota; Actinomycetes; Micrococcales; Microbacteriaceae
Description: bacterial SSU rRNA
Rfam family: Bacterial small subunit ribosomal RNA
Source: RNAcentral